RNAcentral lists this unclassified non-coding RNA (90 nucleotides) under Pseudomonas sp. B10. Lineage: Bacteria; Pseudomonadati; Pseudomonadota; Gammaproteobacteria; Pseudomonadales; Pseudomonadaceae. The record is from RNAcentral.
UGUGGGAGCUGGCUUGCCAGCGAUAGCGGUGGAUCAGUCGCCACCCAUGGUGAACGUGGCGCCGUCAUCGCUGGCAAGCCAGCUCCCACA